AUAUAAAAAGUAAUAUAUUACAUUUAAUUUCGACUUAAAAUUUAAACUAAAUAAGUUUUUAUAUA
This 65-nucleotide transfer RNA is filed under the name Eucera floralia. RNAcentral describes it as "tRNA-Arg". The record is from RNAcentral. Lineage: Eukaryota; Metazoa; Arthropoda; Insecta; Hymenoptera; Apidae.